RNAcentral lists this ribosomal RNA (249 nucleotides) under uncultured bacterium. Its description in RNAcentral is "partial 16S ribosomal RNA". It matches the Rfam family "Bacterial small subunit ribosomal RNA", at positions 355 to 594 of the family's 1533-position model. The record is from RNAcentral.
UAGGGAAUCUUCCACAAUGGACGCAAGUCUGAUGGAGCAACGCCGCGUGAGUGAAGAAGGUUUUCGGACCGUAAAGCUCUGUUGUUGGUGAAGAAGGAUAGAGGUAGUAACUGGCCUUUAUUUGACGGUAAUCAACCAGAAAGUCACGGCUAACUACGUGCCAGCAGCCGCGGUAAAUACGUAGGUGGCAAGCGUUGUCCGGAUUUAUUGGGCGUAAAAGCGAGCGCAGGCGGAAGAAUAAGUCUGAUG